This 51-nucleotide transfer RNA is filed under the name Tetragnatha puella. Its description in RNAcentral is "tRNA-His". The record is from RNAcentral. Lineage: Eukaryota; Metazoa; Arthropoda; Arachnida; Araneae; Tetragnathidae.
UUAUUUAGUUUAAAAAACACCAGUUUGUGGUACUGAAGAUGCUUUAUUCAC